Molecule: ribosomal RNA, 491 nt
Filed under: uncultured bacterium
Lineage: Bacteria
Description: partial 16S ribosomal RNA
Rfam family: Bacterial small subunit ribosomal RNA
Source: RNAcentral
GAUGAACGCUAGCUACAGGCUUAACACAUGCAAGUCGAGGGGAAACGACAUUGAAGCUUGCUUCGAUGGUCGUCGACCGGCGCACGGGUGAGUAACGCGUAUCCAACCUGCCUCUGACCAAGGGAUAACCCGUCGAAAGUCGGCCUAAUACCUUAUGCAGUCGUCGGAAGUCAUCUGAUGACGACGAAAGAUUUCAUCGGUGAGAGAUGGGGAUGCGUCUGAUUAGCUUGUUGGCGGGGUAACGGCCCACCAAGGCAACGAUCAGUAGGGGUUCUGAGAGGAAGGUCCCCCACAUUGGAACUGAGACACGGUCCAAACUCCUACGGGAGGCAGCAGUGAGGAAUAUUGGUCAAUGGGCGAGAGCCUGAACCAGCCAAGUAGCGUGCAGGAUGACGGCCCUAUGGGUUGUAAACUGCUUUUAUGCGGGGUUAAAGUGAGGGACGUGUCCUUCAUUGCAGGUACCGCAUGAAUAAGGACCGGCUAAUUCCGUG